AGGUGGAAGGGCUGGGGGCAGUGGCCGUGGUGCAGGCAGGUGAGGAAAGGGAAGGGUGAGGGAUGGGGGUCUGGCAGGACGGGGGUCUGGGAGAAACUGCGAGGGGGCAGAUGGGAAUGAGGCCUAAAAGGGGUAGCGACCCUGGGGAAGGUCACCCGCCAGGCAGGACUAGAGGGCCCGGGGCCUGGUGCGAGGCGGGUGUGAGGGGGAGGCCGGCCUGAGCUUGUCCCGCCCUCUCAGAUUUCAAGUAGAUCCCUCUGACCCUGGGUUGGCCUGUCUCCCUUAGCAGCGCCCCCUCUGCUCCCGGCAGCCUUAGCCCCCCACCCAGAUGAGGUGGGCGGAGAGGCCUCUAUCUCAGGCCUGCACAGCACCUGCCCAGGAGCGCCAUAAAUGUCUGUUGAGUUGCCCUGAGCCCGGCAAGGACAGCUACCAGCUGAGAUGCAGCUCCCUUGCCCUCUAAGGAGGACGCAAAGUCACCAGUGGGCUUUCUUUGCCUCGGCUCCGCAGACUGAGAGCUGGGGCAGGUGUCCAAGGUGUGCAUUCUUUCAGUUAUUUGAUACCUAUGUAGUGAUCACCUGCUAUGUGCUAGGUACUGUUUUAGAUGCUGGGAAUACAGUGUAGAACUAAACAGACAAAAUGUCUGCCUUGGUAGAGCUUUCAGUGCAGUCAGGGAAAUAAAUAAGCAAAAUAAGGUAGUAAGUUAGAAAGUAAAGAUGGCUACUUGAAGAAACAGAGCAGGGCCAAGUGAGGAGAAUAAAGAGUUGGGGGCAAGGGGUGUGGAAGAUGUUGCAGUUUUCAAUGGGAUGUUAGCAAUGGCCUCAUGGAAGUGACAUCUGAUGAAGACUCAAAGAGGGUGAGAGAGAGAGCCAUGAGGAUAUCUCUGGGGGAAGAGCAUUCUUGGCAGAGGAAACAGCAGUGCAAAGGCCCUGGGGUGAGAGCAUAGUUGGUGAGUUGGAGAGAGACCAAAGAGACCAGUGUGGCUGGAGUGGAGUGAGGGAGGCGAGGUGAAGCAGGAGAGUUCAGAGGGAGGAGGAGGCGUUUCAGUCCUUGGCGGGCCUUGUGGGCCAUCAUGAAGACCUUGGCUUUGACUCUGGUGAAGUGGGAGGUCCGUGCAGGACUUUCUGACCUCUGUUUUAGGACUCGGACCAGCUGCUGUGCUGAGAACACUGCCAGUAGUUCAGGAGAGAGAUGGUUGUGGGUACACCGGGGUGAUAGCUGGGGGCUGGGCUGAGGAUGUUGGAUUCCGGACACUGCAUUUGAGGAGAGAGCUGACCCUCUGGAACGCCAGGGGUGAGGAAGCACUGUCAUCAUCCGCAUCGCCCCUUCCGGGUGCCUCACGCCAGCUUUCCAAGUGCUUCACACAGGUUUGUCCGUCUCUUAUCUCCUCAGCAGCCCCGGAAGAACAGACCUUGUGGACGGCACUUCACCACGAGGAAGCUGAACUGAGACAUUGGUUGUGAGGAGGGAAGGUUAGGAGAUAACUUCAGCCAUGACCAGCAUAACCUUCAGGCACCCCCAAGGACCUAUGUCGAAGGUGGACCUGAAAGGUCUCAGAUGCUGGGGACAGCCCCAGGAAAGGGAUGUGUUAAAGUUUUAGCAGGGGGCCCUUUAGCGCCUGUUCCCUUUGGUUGCACCAAGAGGGAAGAGGAAGAAGAAGAGAAGGAAUCUCCACAGAUCUCCACACCUCCCCCUCAGACCCUCGUGUUCUCCUCUCAGCUCUAGCCUGGAGACCUGUCUCUCCAGACGUUUGCCUGGAAUGUUCGCUCCCCUCUGGUCCAGGAGGGACGUUCCUGCGCAUUCUUGGAGACCCAGGCCAAGGAGCCCUGCUCCACGGCUGACUGAUCCUGUGUCAGCCCACAGCAGUGCUACCUCCCUCUGUGACCGGGCUUUGUAGUGACGAGUGUUCGGACCUGCCUCGGCUGCCAUACUGUAAUGUGAACCAUCGCUGUUCCAUCUGUGCGCCCCCAGCUAGUAGUUUCCAAGACAAGCCCUAUGUCUUCAUGAGCCUGAACCCUAACUCUGCAGGGGCUGCCUGGCCAGUGGCAUUUAACCUCUCCAUCCCUCACGUGCUUACAGCUCCUCAGGUAGAAUACCUACUCCCCCCACAUAGAGCUGGUUGAGAAUUUAGUGAGAAAAUACAAGCAAAGCACUUAACAUUGUGCUGGUACACUGUAAGAACCCAAAAACCGUGAGCUGUCAUUCUGCAUCUCCGUCCCCCUUGUACCCACGAGGUAGGAGCUCAAAUGAAAGAGUGAACCAAUGAGGCGGGAGGUCUUCAAGGUGUGGAAUCAGCCUGCAGGUGUUUUCCUUUAGGACUUCACAGAACAAUCAGUAUUUGUGAUGACGAUGUUUGAGGCUUCCACCUUCACCAGGCCACCCUGGGAGUGGCAGACACCCAACAGAGUACUCACGGCCAUUAGCUUGAGGCCUGAGGUCACUGGGGUAGAGGGCUCAGGAGCAGAUGCCAACAAACAUUGUCAGCCUGACCUGCCCAGAGAAAAACCCUGCUGGGCCAUCACUGUGCAGAGCCCCAGAGGGGCCCCAGGUCUCUGGACUCCGUGUUACCUCUGUGAUGUUUUGGUCCUCACCCACUGCCUGAGCUGCUCUGCCAUGGCGACCCUGGGGGCAUGCAAGCAUUGGCAUGUGGAGAAGUUCCCCAGGCUGUUUUCCAGGCACUGGUAUUACAGGUUUCACAAGGAUGGGAGAAAUCACAGCCUGUAGGCCAAACCCAGCCCUGAGGCCUGGCGAUGCCCAGAGGAAAGAAGCGAAGUGGAAGAUGGCUCAGGAACUAUGACUCCUGGCUAAUCCCUCCAGCAAAUCUGGCUUCCCAGGAGCAGUGGGGACAGGCUCAGGGCUCAGAGCAAAGCUGUUCAGGGAAAUGUUCUGGAACUGGUGAGCCACGGCCCGGGGAACGUGUGUGACUCUCCUCCACGGUCUGAAAUCCAGAACUGACGACUCCUUGCUGGAGGCGAGAGGCCUACGUUGUCCUUUAAACAAUCCUUACGAACUACUCCUGACGUGCGAAAGGGCGUAAGGAAUGGGGCAGUGAACACCUGUGCGCUAGCGCUGAACGCAAGAAAUAAGACAUCAGCCCGGCCUUUGGAGCCUCCCGAGCAAAUGCCCGCCCGGAGAGCCGCAAACUCGGGAGCCGAGCUUCGUGAGCGACCUGCUCUUGUGCUUGGGGCCGGCAGCUGUUCAGGGUGGGCCGCAAGGAAGCGGAGCUUCAGCGUCUGAUCUGGGAAGGCACCGGGGAGCCGCCCUGGGUCUAGAAGAUCGCCAGCACGAUUAUCCCCGUCGCUAGAGUUUUCCGCCUCCAGAGUGGAUGAGUUGAAAUUUUGACUCCAGCGCUCCGCGGCCCCUUCUCAUCCUGGUGAGGAAACUGAGGCCCAGUGAGCGGUUUGCCCUCUCGGGGGGUCGGAACUCAGGCGGUGCCGAGUGGAGGGGGGACCAUGCCUGCCAAGGAAGCAGGGUUUUGAGGCAGAGGUCUUCCCCGGCCUCCCACCGCGGGCUGAUGCUGCGUUUUGCCGGCCUGGUCCGUCCACUCUUUGGGAUAGACCAGCCACUUGUGCUCAGGCCACAGUGUUCCGUGGACAAAGCCAGGGUGGCCUUCAUCUGUGUUUCCUGGAGGUUCCACAUCGAUUCCAGCCACAGCCACCCUAGCACAGGGCACAAUGUGGGAAGUCCUGACUGGUGGCUCUGCUUGACAUACAUUAUCAUCUCCCAAAAAUGAGAUUCUUGCCUCGGUCUCGUGGCUUGGCAUCCCAUGCAGCUGGGCCCUCCGCCGACCGGGCACUUACGGGGUACCUGUGGGCCACCCGUGGUCCCACGCCAACCCUUCACCCCACACCCUUCUGUGGCAGCUUAGUCCGUGGCCUUUAGUGUCACCUGGUGUUACCCUUGGGGAUUAUUUCUUCUUUGUCUUAUAAAUAGCUGAGCACGUGCCCAGGCUGGCUGUUAAUCCGGGGCACUGGCUGGGGACUGGACAAUCACGUCCACCUCAGCUCAGGCCAAGAGCCGCACACACAGCAUCCCUGACCCAAGUUACAGAAGCACAGCCCGUGAAGCACCAGCCUGCAGUUCUGAGGCUGUGGCUGGAUCCCAGAAUUGAUCAGAGGGAGACCCACGAAGGACAUGGUCCUCACAAAGCCAUCCUGCUGACGUCACCCCAUCUCACUUCCCUGUGGCCAUGAGCCUCAAACCCUGUGGGAGUCCCCCCCCCUCCCAGGGAGAGGGAGGGGAGGGGGAUAGGAAUCGAGAAUGAGGGCUCUGGAAGUAGGAGGCCGGC
Molecule: long non-coding RNA, 4285 nt
Organism: Zalophus californianus (California sea lion)
Lineage: Eukaryota; Metazoa; Chordata; Mammalia; Carnivora; Otariidae
Exons: 4
Source: RefSeq, a predicted model, not a curated record